Molecule: ribosomal RNA, 253 nt
Filed under: uncultured bacterium
Lineage: Bacteria
Description: partial 16S ribosomal RNA
Rfam family: Bacterial small subunit ribosomal RNA
Source: RNAcentral
UACGUAGGGUGCAAGCGUUAAUCGGAAUUACUGGGCGUAAAGCGUGCGCAGGCGGUCGUGCAAGACAGAUGUGAAAUCCCCGGGCUUAACCUGGGAACUGCAUUUGUGACUGCACGGCUGGAGUGCGGCAGAGGGGGAUGGAAUUCCGCGUGUAGCAGUGAAAUGCGUAGAUAUGCGGAGGAACACCGAUGGCGAAGGCAAUCCCCUGGGCCUGCACUGACGCUCAUGCACGAAAGCGUGGGGAGCAAACAGG